Molecule: ribosomal RNA, 497 nt
Filed under: uncultured bacterium
Lineage: Bacteria
Description: partial 16S ribosomal RNA
Rfam family: Bacterial small subunit ribosomal RNA
Source: RNAcentral
GAUGAACGCUGGCGGCGUGCCUAAUACAUGCGAGUCGAGCGAACAGAUGAGGAGCUUGCUCCUCUGACGUUAGCGGCGGACGGGUGAGUAACACGUGGAUAACCUACCUAUAAGACUGGGAUAACUUCGGGAAACCGGAGCUAAUACCGGAUAAUAUAUUGAACCGCAUGGUUCAAUAGUGAAAGACGGUUUUGCUGUCACUUAUAGAUGGAUCCGCGCCGCAUUAGCUAGUUGGUAAGGUAACGGCUUACCAAGGCAACGAUGCGUAGCCGACCUGAGAGGGUGAUCGGCCACACUGGAACUGAGACACGGUCCAGACUCCUACGGGAGGCAGCAGUAGGGAAUCUUCCGCAAUGGGCGAAAGCUUGACGGAGCAACGCCGCGUGAGUGAUGAAGGUCUUCGGUUCGUAAAACUCUGUUAUUAGGGAAGAACAAAUGUGUAAGUAACUAUGCACGUCUUGACGGUACCUAAUCAGAAAGCCACGGCUAACUACGUG